UUUCUUAUCUAUGUGAAAAUUGGAUGCCACUUCACUGUAGUUAAACUUACUUUUUCAUAGAAAAAACUGAGUCUGAAACUUCAGAAAGCUUUCUGCAAUCAAAUGAUGAACACAUGGCCAGCAGCUCAAAAGUUUGCCACUGAAUGAGUGAGAUCAAUUUAGGACAUCAUUGGAAAGCAGGUGUUAGUCAGGACCCAGGGAAAGGACCCAAGCAAAGCAGUUACUGAUCAUCUAACAACUGUGGGAUGUAAAAAAGAUGGAGGAAUAAAUUAUAGAAGUUUUCUAGGUCUAUCUAAAAACAAAGUGACAGUGUAAGUCGGAGCUAGGGAAUUACCUUCUCAUCAGCAAUGAUGCAGGUCUUUUAAAAAGUAACUGGUAACCAAAGCCCAAAGGUAUCAGCUUUUGCAGUAUACCAGGACACAAAUCUGGCCCAAACACACUGCAUCCUGUGAUUCUUAUAUAUAGCAAAUGGCAGCUGAGUGUUCUCUUCUACUUCAAAUGAGCUACAGUAAGCACCAGAACUCCCUGAGGAUGUGCCAGUGACAGAUUUGCACCAAAGGGGACAACCCCAAGGACAGACACACCUUUGUUCCAUCAGCCCAGUGUAUCUGGAAUGGACUGGAACCAGUGGUAUUGUUUCCAUCCAGAUGCCCAUGGAUGUUUCUCCAUUCAAUCCAUUAAGAAAGAAGGAACGGCACGCUUAGCAGAGCCAUUGUCUUCCUCAUUUUCAUGGGGACGCUUUCUCGUUGUGGUUGGCUGGAAGAAAAACACAGGAGGAUGGCUCCAGGAAACCAGUGUCACCUGAUUUGAUUGUGGCUACAUUUGAAUUGAUGGAUAAGGAAACGUCAUCUGAUCAUCCACCGUAAGAUCAGAAAAUACAAACACUGGGAAGGCAAGUGGAG
This is a long non-coding RNA of Vidua chalybeata, 902 nucleotides long. RefSeq lists it as uncharacterized. Lineage: Eukaryota; Metazoa; Chordata; Aves; Passeriformes; Viduidae. The transcript is spliced from 4 exons. The record is from RefSeq and is a predicted model, not a curated record.